UACGAAGGGGGCGAGCGUUGUUCGGAUUUACUGGGCGUAAAGGGCGCGCAGGCGGCUAUCCAAGUCAGGCGUGAAAGCCCCGGGCUUAACCUGGGAGGCGCGUCUGGGACUGAGUGGCUAGAGUUCGGGAGAGGAGAGUGGAAUUCCCAGUGUAGAGGUGAAAUUCGUAGAUAUCGGGAGGAACACCAAUGGCGAAAGCAGCUCGCUGGACAGGUCCUGACACUGAGACGCGAAAGCGUGGGUAGCAAACGGG
Molecule: ribosomal RNA, 253 nt
Filed under: uncultured bacterium
Lineage: Bacteria
Description: partial 16S ribosomal RNA
Rfam family: Bacterial small subunit ribosomal RNA
Source: RNAcentral